RNAcentral lists this long non-coding RNA (1273 nucleotides) under Anser cygnoides (Swan goose). RNAcentral's name for it is "lncRNA (ENSACDG00005008482.1)". Lineage: Eukaryota; Metazoa; Chordata; Aves; Anseriformes; Anatidae. The record is from RNAcentral.
AUGAGGACAAAAAAAGGGGGAUUGGGAGUGUUUCCAACUGUAAAAGCAACGUGGCACAAGCACAAACAUAUACUCACCUGUGAUUUAAACCAUUUUUCCCCCAAAAGAUUUCUGAUUGUUUUGGGGAAAAACAGCCUUUUUGCCAGGACCCCCCCCCCCAGAGUGACACAGCAGGAACAAAACCGGGUGAAAAUGACGCAAAAACCCCACAAUGACAGCGCUGGAAAAAAAAUAAAGACGUCCAAAAGAAAAAAGCCCCCGGGAGGCUUUUAGGAGGAGGAAAACGGGAAGAUUUCGGAAAGAAGAGCCCGGAGGAGCGCAGGCGGCCGCGGGCCCGGCAGGGUGAGCGGAGAUUUUUGGUGCAGGAUCAGGGGAAAACGGGGCUUUUCACAAGCCGCCAGCCGGAGGGUGUGGAGCCGAAGAGGAAGCAGAGGAGGAAAAAAAAAAAAAGAGAUGAUUUCUCAGCUAAAAAUUCCAAAAUUUCGGUUCUAAACUGAUAGAAGAUGGCUUAAAGAGAAGAUUAUUGGAAAGGAGGAAAUAAUUUGCAAAACAGGAAAAAAAUAAGAGUGAAGAUAAAAUGUAGACAUGAGGAAGAUUUAAAAAUCGAAGAGAGAAAACGCCAAAUUCUAAUUAAUUUGAUGAAGGAGGCUGACGAGCGGCUCCAGCCCGGCUUCACGCCGACCCCGAAUUAACCCAAUCGCGGCCGUUUUUCCCCAAACCGCCGAGGGCGCGCCUGCUUCACGCAGCCGGAAAAGCCGAGAUUUGAGCCCAAAAAUGGCGAGGGGAGGAGGAGGAGGAGGUUGUAGAGGCUGAGGAGAGGCGCGCGGGUGCGGGAGGCUUCCCAAACCCCCAGCCAGGUGUAGAAGAGCGGCAGCGACGCGCCUGGGCAGGAGGAAAAAAAAGAGGAGGAAAAAAGGACAUUUUGGUUAAAAGCUGCUUGCUGGGAAGGACGCAGGGAGGCGAGAAGGCGGCAGCAAAACGCCAGUGGAGGAGGAAGCAGAAAAUAGGAAAAGAGGAGAAAGUAGAGCAAAGAAAAAGAGCAAAUAAUAGGCAAAAAGGAGGAGAAAACAGAAAAAAUAGGAAAAAAAAAAAAAGAAGAGGGAAAAGAAUAGAAAAAAUGAAGAGGGCAGAAAAUAGAAAAAAGAAAAUAGAAAAAAGAAGAGGGCAGAAAAUAGAAAAAAGAAAAUAGAAAACAGAAAAAAAAAGAAGAAAAUAGAAAAAAGAAAAAUAGAAGAAUAGAAAAAAGAAAAUAGAAAAAAAUGAAGAGGGCAGA